This 369-nucleotide ribosomal RNA is filed under the name uncultured bacterium. RNAcentral's name for it is "bacterial SSU rRNA". It matches the Rfam family "Bacterial small subunit ribosomal RNA", at positions 527 to 898 of the family's 1533-position model. The record is from RNAcentral.
GGAGGGUGCAAGCGUUAUCCGGAUUCACUGGGUUUAAAGGGUGCGUAGGAGGGCAGGUAAGUCAGUGGUGAAAUCUCCGGGCUUAACUCGGAAACUGCCGUUGAUACUAUCUGUCUUGAAUACCGUGGAGGUGAGCGGAAUAUGUCAUGUAGCGGUGAAAUGCUUAGAUAUGACAUAGAACACCAAUUGCGAAGGCAGCUCACUACGCGAAUAUUGACUCUGAGGCACGAAAGCGUGGGGAUCAAACAGGAUUAGAUACCCUGGUAGUCCACGCCCUAAACUAUGGAUACUCGACAUACGCGAUACACUGUGUGUGUCUGAGCGAAAGCAUUAAGUAUCCCACCUGGGAAGUACGACCGCAAGGUUGAA